Molecule: ribosomal RNA, 407 nt
Filed under: uncultured eukaryote
Lineage: Eukaryota
Description: SSU rRNA
Rfam family: Eukaryotic small subunit ribosomal RNA
Source: RNAcentral
CCAGCAGCUGCGGUAAUUCCAGCUCCAAUAGCGUAUAUUAAUGUUGUUGCAGUUAAAAAGCUCGUAGUUGAAUUUCUGAUAGGUUUAUUAGCUGGCUUCGGUCGUUAAUAGGCCUAUCAUCCGAUAGAGAACUAUAGCCGGCCUUCACUGGUCACUAUAGCUAUCUAUCAUUUUACUUUGAAAAAAUUAGAGUGUUCAAGGCAGGCAAACGUCAUGAAUACUAUAGCAUAGAAUAAUGGAAUAGGACUUAGGUUCAUUUUAUUGGUUAUUGAACCUUAGUAAUGAUUAACAGGGACAGUUGGGGGCAUUAGUAUUUAAUUGUCAGAGGUGAAAUUCUUGGAUUUAUUAAAGACUAACUUAUGCGAAAGCAUUUGCCAAGGAUGUUUUCAUUAAUCAAGAACGAAAGU